Molecule: ribosomal RNA, 309 nt
Filed under: uncultured bacterium
Lineage: Bacteria
Description: bacterial SSU rRNA
Rfam family: Bacterial small subunit ribosomal RNA
Source: RNAcentral
CAUUUUAUUUAAGUAUGAAUAGCGAAUAAGAUAUCACUAUAAGAGGAGCCUAUGUCUGAUUAGCUAGUUGGUAGGGUAAUGGCCUACCAAGGCUACGAUCAGUAGCCGGUCUGAGAGGAUGAUCGGCCACACUGGAACUGAGACACGGUCCAGACUCCUACGGGAGGCAGCAGUGGGGAAUAUUGGACAAUGGGCGCAAGCCUGAUCCAGCAAUACCGCGUGAAUGAUGAAGGCCCUCUGGGUUGUAAAAUUCUUUUAUUAGGGAAGAUGAUGACUGUACCUGAUGAAUAAGAACCGACUAACUACGUG